Molecule: long non-coding RNA, 673 nt
Organism: Cornus florida
Lineage: Eukaryota; Viridiplantae; Streptophyta; Magnoliopsida; Cornales; Cornaceae
Exons: 4
Source: RefSeq, a predicted model, not a curated record
AUUUGUCUCUGGAUUUUUUUUUUUGAGCUCUGCACAUAUCAGAACACUAGAAGAGGAACGAGGAGAGAGAAGGUCGAAUCCAAGUGAAAGCAUGAGACUACCAUUGUUGAAUCCUGGAGGUUUUCUCUGCUCCAAAUCAGAGCCUCUUUGUCAGAGGAGACAUCUUCACCUGUUAAUGCUGAAGAGUGAUUAACAGACCUAAAGGAGAAGUUUCCGAAGAUCAUGGAGCUGGUGGGACUUGGAUAUACUGGACGGUUUGUCAACCGAUACCUUCUCUUCAAGUUAUUUGCCGAAAGCAGUCUACUUGCAGCAUCUAAUGGGUGUAGAAGGUGUGAUUGUUGAUUUGGUUCAGGAAAUCAUGGGCUGUUACCAAUAUGAUUAAGCCAUCAGAGGUGGACGAAGGGGAGAUAAUUAGAGGGGUUGGAGCAGAUUCAAGUUGAACCCAACCCCCACUACUCACAAAGGAAGCUGUCAUUUCUGUGGAAAUUGAUACCAGAAUUAAUACCUCCUCUAUAAGAAAACCUCUUAUAGUCGGAGUCCUGAGUUGUUGGAUGGGAACCUCGAUCAAGUAAUGUUCUGGGAAAAGAAUGGAAACCUCUUAUAUCAAUUACUGUUAUUUGUAUUUGACGUAUUUUAAAUUUGAAUCGAAACUUUUGGUGGUUAUGAGAUUUAA